Molecule: long non-coding RNA, 8507 nt
Organism: Lycium barbarum (goji berry)
Lineage: Eukaryota; Viridiplantae; Streptophyta; Magnoliopsida; Solanales; Solanaceae
Exons: 2
Source: RefSeq, a predicted model, not a curated record
AACCUAAGGGGUGUCAUAACUCUUCCUCAAGACAUCAUUAAGUCAGCAUUAUUUCGAUACUUUGCAAAACCCUUCCAAAACACGACUUAUACCUUACAUUCUUCAACGUACUUUCUUCUCUUGCCUCAAAUGUCUUUGGAAUCUUAAUUAGAACCGUUAAGUACUACUUCUUACUCGUAGAAACAUCAUAUACUUCUUACCCUACAUUAUUCUAUCUACCACAUGACGAUAUGAAAUUUUCCGAGGUGUAACACUCUUCCCCCCUUUAAAAACAUUAGUCCUAGAGUAUCCCCUGUAAUAUGGCACUACUAUCCUGUCACAACAGCCCAUAAUAACAUCGUCUCACAGGGCUACAACACAAUAGCAAGUAAUUAUGGCUACACACGACCAAAAGCAUUAAAAAGAAAGCAUUACAUACCUUGUAAUACUGAUGUCUCAUCUUGAAUCUCUUCCGAGGGUGGAAAUAAUUGCAGGUACUUGGAUUUCAUGUCUUCUUCCGCUUCCCAAGUCAUUUACUCUCGGUUAUUAUUUCUCCGCAAGACCUUAACUGAGGCCACCUCUUUAUUUCUAAGUUUCCGUACUUGCCUAGCUAGUAUGGCAAUGGGUACCUCUUCAUAAGCCAACCUUUCGGUACUUGAACAUCAUCUACAAGCACGAUUCUAGUAGGAUAUCCGACACACUUACGGAGCAUUGAUACAUGAAAAACUGGAUGGACUAAUUCAAGUUCUGGAGGUAAGUCCAGUUCAUAAGCUACUUGGCCUAUCUUGCGGAUAAUCUUAUAAGGUCCAACGUAUCGAGGACUUAAUUUUCCCUUCUUGCCAAAUCUCAUCACGCCUUUUAUCGGUGACACCUUCAAGAAUACCCAAUUAUCAACUUGGAAUUAUAAGUCUCGCCGACGGUUGUCCGCAUAAGAUUUCUGGCGACUUUGGGAUGUCAAUAAUUGAUCUCGGAUAACCUUGAUCUUUUCCACUGCUUGCUGAAUCAACUCUGGACCUAUUAGUUAUAUCUCUCCUACUUCAAACCACCCAAUUAGGGAUCUACACUUUCUUCCAUAUAGAGCUUCAUACGGGGCCAUCUGAAUGCUAGAAUGAUGACUAUUGUUGUAUGCAAACUCAAUAAGGGGAAAGUGAUCAUCCCAGCUACCUCCGAAAUCUAGCACACAUGACCGUAACAUGUCUUCUAAGUUCUGAAUGGUGUGUUACGCUUGUCCAUCAGUUUGUGGGCGAAAUGCUGUGCUAAGUCUCACUUGAGUACCCAAACCUUAUUGGAACGACUUCCAGAAUUUAGCUGUAAAUUGUGUUCCUCUAUCUGUGAUAAUAGAUACCGGAACACCAUGAAGUCGUACUAUCGCCUUAAGGUAUAACCUUGCAUAAUCUUCUGCUCAAUAUGUGGUCCUGGUUGGGAGAAAAUGAGCUGAUUUUGUGAGUUUGUCAACAAUCACCCAUAUGGAGUCAUAUUUUCGCUGACAACGAGGAAAGCCUAUAAUGAAAUCCAUGUUAAUCACUUCCCAUUUCCAGGCUGGAAUUUCCAUGGCUUGUAACGAUCCUCCUAUCUUUUGAUACUCAAUUUUCACUUGUUGGCAAUUUGGACAUUGAGCUACAAAUUUUGUUGUGUCCUUCUUCAUUCCAUCCCAACAAUACAUUAACUUGAGAUCGUGAUACAUCUUUGUUGCUCCUGGGUGAAUGGAAUACCGAGAAUAAUGAUCUUCUUCUAGAAUUCGACGACGUAGUCCUGCAACAUUUGGGACACAUAGCCUGUCUCGGUACCUAAGAACUUCAUCUGCAGAAACUUCAAAUGGUGACUUCUCUUUCUCAGGAAAUGUAUCUCUAUAGCGACUCAACUGGGGAUCUUCAUAUUUGCGUUCUUUCACCUCCAUAUCUAAGGAAGAAACAGUUGGGUUGUGAAUACCAACUCUUGCAUUGCCCGAAUCAAUUAGAUGAACUCCGAGGCUGGCUAGCUGGUGAAGCUCACGGAUUAAUUCUUUCUGCUCCGGAGGGAUCUCACAUAGACUACCCAUUGAUUUGCGGCUAAGUGCAUCAGCUACUACAUUCGCAUUUCCAGGAUGAUAUAAAAUACUCACAUCGUAAUCCUUCAAUAAUUCUAACCACUGCCUCUGUCGUAGGUUUAACUCCUUCUGCUUGAAAAUAUACUAGAGACUCUUGUAAUUUGUAUAAAUAUCAACAUGUACACCGUACAAGUAAUGUCUCCACAUUUUUAGCGCAUGGAUAACUGCAGCCAAUUCCAGAUCAUGGGUCGGAUAAUUUUUCUUAUGUUUUCGCAACUGCCUUGAAGCAUAGGCAAUUACUUUAACGUGCUGCAUCAACACACAACCUAACCCAACACUAGAGGCAUCACAAUACACAACAUAACCAUCUAGCCCUUCUGGGAGUGUCAGGACUGGGGCUAAAGUUAAUUUAUCCUUCAAUUCCUGGAAACUGCGUUCACAAGCAUCGGUCCACUAAAAUUUUACUGAUUUCUGAGUUAGCUUCGUUAAUGGUGCUGAAAUAGAAGAGAAUCCUUCCACAAAUCUUCUAUAGUAGCCUGCUAAUCCCAAGAAGCUACGGACCUCUGUAUGCAUUGUGGGCCUUGGCCAAGUCUUCACAACCUCAAUUUUCUGAGUAUCAACUCCAAUGUCGUUAGCUGAAAUGAUAUCGCCCAGAAAAGUUACAGAAUUCAGCCAGAACUCACAUUUCAAAAAUUUAGCAUACAACUCACUAGUCCGAAGAAUCCCAAGACAGUACGCAAAUGGUCUACAUGCUCUGCUUCUGUCCGAGAGUAUACUAGAAUAUCAUCAAUGAACACGAUCAAAAAUAGAUCUAGAAAGGGCCUGAAUACAUUAUUCAUCAGAUUCAUUAACACCGCCGGAGCAUUAGUCAACCCAAAUGACAUCACCCAAAAUUCAUAGUGGCCAUAUCUCGUUCUGAAAGCUAUUUUGGGAAUAUCUUCUUCUCUAACUCUCACUUGACGAUACCCCGAUCUUAGAUCAAUUUUGGAAAAUCAUUCGGCACCCUGUAAUUGGUCAAACAAAUCAUCGAUUCUUAGAAGCGGAUAUUUAUUCUUUAUCGUCACCUUGUUCAGCUACCUAUAAUCAAUGCACAUCUGUAGGGAACCAUCUUUCUUUCUCACAAAUAGGACAGGUGCUCCCCACGGUGAUGAACUGAGCCUAAUGAAUCCCUUCUCCAGCAAAUCUUUCAGUUGUGCCUUUAGCUCUUUCAAUUCUGCAGGAGCCAUUCUGUAAGGAGGAAUAGAGAUUGGUUUAGUAUCCAGUAACACAUAAAUAACAAAAUCAAUCUCCCGCUCCGGUGGAAGACCUGGAAGUUCAUCUGGAAAUACAUCUGAAAAUUCAUUUACUACCGGGACAGAUUGAAAAGUCGAUGGCUUUGCUUCGAUGUUAUGAACUCGGACUAGAUGAUAAAUAUAGCCUUUGGCGAUCAUCUUCCUCGCCCUGAGGUAGGAAAUAAACCUACCUCUUGGGGACGUUGUAUUACCUUUCCAUUCAAGCACGGGUUCUCCCGGGAAUUAGAACCGAACUAUUUUCGUUUUGCAAUCCACAUUAGCAUAACAAGAGGCCAACCAGUCCAUACCCAUAAUAAAAUCAAAAUCUAAUAUUUUCAGCACAACCAAAUCAACUUUAGUCUGAUGAUCACAUACCACAAUCACACAAUUUAUAUACACUUGUCUAGCUAUUACUGGAUCACCAACCGGAGUAGAUACCUCGAAAUGUUUAAUUGGCUCGAAUUUCACCCCAAUGCGGCCAGCAAUAUAAGGAGUAAUAUAAGACAACGUAUAACCCAGAUCAAUCAAUGCAUAAACAUCGUGAGAGAAUAUGGAUAGUAUACCUGUAACCACAUCCGGGGAGGACUCAAGAUCCUGAUGUCCAGCUAAAGCAUAAAUACGGGGCUGGGUACCACCUGAACUGGAUGCUCCCCCUCUGCCCCUACCGCGGCCUACUGGAGUCUGAGGAAUCUGCCAUAUCGGGCGCACAGAUGAGGAAGAACCAGCCGGUGAUCCUGUGGACUGAACCCCACUUCUACCGUGCCUCGAGGGACAAUCACGCAUCACGUGCCCAGUCUGUCAACAAACAUAACAAACAUCUUAACCUUGGCGACACGGGCCCGAAUGUAACUUUCUGCACUGGCUACAUCGUGGAACUGGUGGUCUCCUCUAACUAGGAUCACCUCUAAACUGAGGACCUGAGACUCUCGAACUCUGAUCCAGACCAGAAUAAAUAGGGCGAUCAAAUCUCCUGCCCGCAAAUCGAGGAGGUGCACUCAUCGCGGACUGGCCCGAAUGUCUGGAAUACUAUUGCCGCUGACCCCCUCUAUACUUACUACUAGCACCGGCAAAUCUGUCCCUCUUGCUCUAUCCUCAGUCAAUAUCACGCUCACCCCUCUGCGGUUGUUGCUGCUCUUCUAAAUUCUAGGCGUGAGCCUGAAUACGGGAAAUGUCCAUCCCCUCCUGUAGUGAAGCUGUCAGACAAUCCUUGAACAAGUGUUGCCCUAAGCCGCUCACAAAUCUAUGUACUCUAUCUUUCAUGUCAGCCACCAUAGUCAUAGCAUAUCUAGCCAAUGAAUUAAAUUAAAGGCUAUACUCCCGAGCACUCAUAUUCCUUUGCUUUAGAUUCAGAAACCUGUCAGCUCGACCCCUUCGAACCUCAGGUGGCAAAUAGUGGCGGAUGAAAGCAUCUAUGAAUUCUUGCCAAACUGGGGGAGGUGCAUUAUCCUUUCUCGAAGAUAUCCAGUUAUUAUACCAAAAAAACCACCACAUCCCGGAGUCUAUAAGAUGCCAACUCCACAUAUUUAGUAUCGGAGGCAUGGAUGAUUCUAGACGUUCUCAGCAUCUCAUCAAUAAAACCUUGCGGGUCUUCAUCCGGCUUUGACCCGAAAAAUUCUGGGGGAUUUAAACUCAUGAAAUCACGGGCUCUAGCACUAGUCGCCCUGCCACCUUGACCCGUACUCUGCUGCUGAGCCUGAGCGGCAAUUUGCUGUGUCAAUAGCUAAAUAGCUUCGGUCAUCUGUUGACCCGAAGCACCCGGUGAAGGAACUGGAGGCAUAGGAGUCGGAACUGAAGCCCCUCCUUAUUCUUCAAGGAUAGGCGGAGUAUGAGAGGUAUUGGAUGGAGCCUCAUUUUGGGAUUUACCUUCUUCUACAUUCAUUGGCGGCUCCCUUUCCAUCCCCCUUUCUGUCGUAGCCUUACCCUUCUGGGCGGCUGUGGCUUUCCUCUUUACCGGCAUCACUGAAAUCAUAACGCACAAUCAGGGGAAAGAAAAUCUUACAACAUGGCUCUAUCGCACGGUCUAAUAAUAAGAAGAAUGGUCAUUUUUCAUAAAUGCCCCGCAGCCCCUUGUUUAUAAGUGUGGCACGCUUCACACCCAUAAAUGAGACUCUGUUGGACACGGCUCGUAGACACACCCUAGGACGGAACUGCUCUGAUACCACUUUUGUCAUGACCCGAUUAGGGGCCAUGACGGAUACCCGGAGCUUACUACCGAGCACCACUCAUUAUGCUAGUCAUCAUACUCAUCCUGGGCACAUAUAAUCUCCAAGGCAAUACAUAAAUAUACAUAAGCCCUCACGGCUGCAAAAUGAUAUACAAAAAUAUACAUUGAUGUAUUCAUAAGACAACAACUACCCACGCAUCCGUAUCUACGAGCUCUACUAGAGUGCUGUGACAUGAGGACAGGACAGGACCCCGUCAUACCCCAAAUAUAUACACAAAAGAAUAUGUUUGUAAGUAGCACCUUCGGAGUAGUGGAGUGCUCCUGUGAAUCCGCUGAUAAGCUCCUACAAGUCUGCACCGUCUCCCUGUCUACCUAUGGGCAUGAAAACAGCGUCCAAAAAGAAAGUACGUCAGUACAAAAAAUGUACUGAGUAUGUAAGGCAUGAAUAAUACUAGCAUAAAUAAGAAAUAACGAAACAUGAGGCGAAGAUAUAACCUGUACGUCAAUUGCCUCUUAGGGCGAAUACUAUGCCUGAUUAACUUUUAAAGGAAAACACAUGUUAUACACAUCAAAUAUACCAUCACCGUUAACCCGCGUCCGGCUAAUCAUCACACGCCGCCCACUAGUGGUGUCAUGUCUGGCCUUUAGGCACGGUGUAAUCAUAAGCAGCCCGCCUUAGGGGUGUUAUGUCCAGCCAUCUAGGCACGGUGUAAUCAUAAGCAGCCCGCCUUAGCGGUGUCAUGUCCGGCCAUCUAGGCACGGUGUAAUUUCAUCAUUUUAUACUUAUCAUAAAGCAUGCCUUAGAAAUCAAUUAAAUACUACAACUCUAUCGGGUGGAGCAGUCAUGAUCAUCAUGCCUCACCUUGAAGGAACUAGCAUCAUAAGGUGAGUCUAGCAACAAUGAAUAACAGCAUGGAAUGGUUAGCUUCAUAAAGAUAUCAUAUCAUAAGCCUUGGAACCUCUAGACUUAGACUCAUCAUCAUCAUUGUCAUAUUUACAACGCAUCUCUUAUCUUUAUUACAUGAGAAGUUGUUAAUAAUCAUAGAUUCAUAGUUUCCAGAAUAUAAAAGAGUUAUGGAAAGCUAAAGGAAGUCAUGUUGUAGGAAUCAUGCCUUAGAGAAGAAGGGACUAGCCUUACAUACCUCUUUGUCUCCUAAACUCUAUCGACUAGAUGGUUCCCUUCGAUGCCGACGAUUCUACAUUCAAGAGAAUUCGUACUAAGAUUAGAUAACCAGAAAUAUACUUAAGCUUAAGCUAAAGCUAAUGAAAAUUGGGCAGCAUCUCCUUUGUUUCUACAACUUCCUCCAUAUGCUAUAACAACUCCCAACAUCAAUAACAACAUUCAUAAUAUCAUAAUCAAUAACUUUGUCAAGUUCGACAUUAUCCAAUUCCCACAAUUCCCUACCAAAAUGAUUCAUGGCCUUAGCUAUGGCAUAACAUCGUAUUCAUUUCUCAUAUAAUACCUCUUUAACAUCAUUUGUACCAUUUACAAUAAGAUUUCAGUCAUAACAUCUCAAGAAUCAUGAUUCAUGUCAAACUACUAUUCAAGAAUACCACUAUUCUUAUAUUUGUAACCCAUUCUCUACUUUCUUCUAUAAUCCAAGUCUUUCAACAAUUCAAUACUCUUAAUAGCAUGAAAUGAACAUAAAACUCACCUUUGAUUGUGAAGGAAUGGGUUUUGGAUGGAAAUACUUCACUUGGAGAAAACCUUAGCUUCACUUCUAAAGAAAUUUUUAGCUUCCAUCAACUCUAGUUAGCAUUCUUGCACUUAAUUCUACUAGUUUUUUUGUAUUUGAUCUUUGAUUUCCCUUGAAUUCAUGUAAACGAAGUGUGUGGAAUAUUCUAGAGGUUUAGAGAGAAGUGGAGAAAAUAAGAAAUGAGAAAUAAGACCUUGAAGUCAUCUUUUUAUAAAAAAUUAAAACUGCCUAACGGGAGUUAUACGGACUCUUAUACGGUCCGUAUAAGUGACCAUAUAACUCCAUUAGUGAUGGCCCUUCACUGUAACGGUUAUACGGACCAUUAUAAGGGCCGUAUAAAUGGUCGUAUAAUCCACCUUUUCUCCGAACUUGUUCUCAUCGUCUCGUUUGAUCUCCAAUUCUUAUGGAACCUUCUUAGCACUUGUAGGGGCAUCAUAACUCUUCCUCAAGACAUCAUUAAGUCAACAUUAUUUCGGUACUUUGCAAAACCCUUCCAAAACACGACUUAUACCUUACAUUCUUCAACGAAGUCUCUUUUCUUGUCUCAAAUGUAUUUGGAAUCUUAAUUAGAACCGUUAAGUACUACUUCUUACUUGUAGAUCCUAUGUUAGUCUAUCUACCACAUGACGACAUGAAAUUUUUCGAGGUGUAACACUAUACUUGUUCUAAUUGAAGUAAAGUUAGAAAUUAGAAUGAAAAUAAUGAGGCUGGAGAUUAAUAGCAACAUUGGAGAUCAGUAACAGUAAUAAGGCUACAUUUACACAUGCCAUGAGUAGCAGCAUAUACUGAAUGAAAAUGUUUUUGGUAGGAUUACAAAAGUGGUAUUAGCAUGUGCACAUGCUCAUUCAUUUGUAGUACUUCUAAAUAUCUGUUCAUUUAAGAAAUUAGAGACAAUGGCAAACAGAGUGCAACACAAUGUCAAGGAGAUAACAGCUGGAUCUGAAGAAAUAAUAGAAGAAUGCUACUCCAUCCUGGAAGUAUAGCACCUGGUGAGAGAUUGUAGGUGUUUGAGAUGGUGUCAAGUCAAGGCCAGAGGAUCUGCAGUAGACAAGCUUCUAUACAGUCUUUGGAUGUACAGAUCUGGGCACGAGUUGAGCAUCUUGGUUCAGUGACUAUUGGAGAGCACUAUCUUGGAGUCCAGGGUGUGUUGUUGUUGCCUUCCCAAUACCGGAUUCCUCUAUAUCCUUAUUUUUGUCUUCCUUAUUUCAGACUGUGUUGUAUUAGCUUUUAAGACUUGUAAUCGUAUUCUAUAAAGCUAUUGUACUUGUGACUUCCAGGUUUUAGGGGCAUGUUGUCUCUAAUUUAUUUUCAGCAAGUUAUUAAGACUAUUUCAGUACUUUGGGAGUUCCUUUAAUUUCCUCAUUAACUUA